CCCUAAAACAGUUGAGAUUACCUGUGGUAAAUGAAACGCAUACAAACUCAUAUACAGGUCCUAGACUACUAAGACAAAGGCGACUAUAAACUGAUUGUAUUCCCUAUAAACUGAUUGUAUACGGUGUGCUACAAUGCUCUAGGACAAGGGAAUACAAUCGGUUAAUCCGAUUGUCGGCCUUGUCCUUGAGCAUUGUAGCACACCGUAUACAAUCAUGUAAUGUACACUAUAACUACUAUAGUGGAUUGAUACUAUAUGACAGUGAAAGAGAGACUUGGAGCAAGUCUAUAUACAGUACAGUAUAUAGUUGUUUAAAUUAGUAAAUUGCUACGUUAUUUACAUCAUUUUCAAGCCCAUAACAACGCCAAGUUACAACGUACGCGAAGUCGUUUUGGAUGUUAAAAAUGUCACAGAAUUCACUGACUUUUGCUGCUUACCCUUAAUUAAAAGAAGGAUAAGUACUUUUAAGAGGCAAGAUAAAGUUUAGUAAAGUGUGCUUUGGAUGGAAUGCAAAAAUGUAAGUAAUUUUGUUUUCUGCCUGCUAAUAAUUAGCCGUGUAUAAACUGGAACACAGCUAGCUCAUUGCAUUUCUUAAUUAAUUAGUUUUUGGGACACCUUGAAUGUAUAGCCACAGGUAGAAUAUAUGAGCAUGGCUUCGAAAUUACACGAUAAAGAACAAUUUCAAUUUGAUCGAGGUCCUCGCAUGUGAAAAACUCACAAGCUAUAUAAAUAUGUAUUGUUUUUUAAACUGCAUGACAAUUUAUGCUAUAAUUUAUUAAUGACGUACUUGAAAAAAAUUGAUCAGAUUAUAAGGCGAAGAAAGUUUUUUCAUCAAAUGUUAUAUGCAAAUAUAACGUAACUCAUAAAUAAUGUAACUCAAG
This is a non-coding RNA of Paramuricea clavata, 881 nucleotides long. NCBI's taxonomy places the organism in Eukaryota, Metazoa, Cnidaria, Anthozoa, Malacalcyonacea, Plexauridae. The record is from the annotation of a GenBank genome assembly.